This 844-nucleotide ribosomal RNA is filed under the name uncultured bacterium. RNAcentral's name for it is "bacterial SSU rRNA". It matches the Rfam family "Bacterial small subunit ribosomal RNA", at positions 59 to 893 of the family's 1533-position model. The record is from RNAcentral.
AAGUCGAGGGGAAACGAUAGAGAAAGCUUGCUUUUUCUAGGCGUCGACCGGCGCACGGGUGAGUAACGCGUAUCCAACCUGCCCAUCACUUGGGAAUAACCUUGCGAAAGUAAGACUAAUACCCAAUGAUAUCUCAAGAAGACAUCUGAAUGAGAUUAAAGAUUUAUCGGUGAUGGAUGGGGAUGCGUCUGAUUAGCUUGUUGGCGGGGUAACGGCCCACCAAGGCGACGAUCAGUAGGGGUUCUGAGAGGAAGGUCCCCCACAUUGGAACUGAGACACGGUCCAAACUCCUACGGGAGGCAGCAGUGAGGAAUAUUGGUCAAUGGGCGAGAGCCUGAACCAGCCAAGUAGCGUGCAGGAUGACGGCCCUAUGGGUUGUAAACUGCUUUUAUAAGGGAAUAAAGUGAGUCUCGUGAGACUUUUUGCAUGUACCUUAUGAAUAAGGACCGGCUAAUUCCGUGCCAGCAGCCGCGGUAAUACGGAAGGUCCGGGCGUUAUCCGGAUUUAUUGGGUUUAAAGGGAGCGUAGGCCGGAGAUUAAGCGUGUUGUGAAAUGUAGAUGCUCAACAUCUGCACUGCAGCGCGAACUGGUUUCCUUGAGUACGCACAAAGUGGGCGGAAUUCGUGGUGUAGCGGUGAAAUGCUUAGAUAUCACGAAGAACUCCGAUUGCGAAGGCAGCUCACUGGAGCGCAACUGACGCUGAAGCUCGAAAGUGCGGGUAUCGAACAGGAUUAGAUACCCUGGUAGUCCGCACGGUAAACGAUGGAUGCCCGCUGUUGGUCUGAAUAGGUCAGCGGCCAAGCGAAAGCAUUAAGCAUCCCACCUGGGGAGUACGCCGGCAACG